AAGAGAGGAGCUUGCUCUUCUUGGAUGAGUUGCGAACGGGUGAGUAACGCGUAGGUAACCUGCCUUGUAGCGGGGGAUAACUAUUGGAAACGAUAGCUGAUACCGCAUAACAAUGGAUGACACAUGUCAUUUAUUUGAAAGGGGCAAUUGCUCCACUACAAGAUGGACCUGCGUUGUAUUAGCUAGUAGGUGAGGUAACGGCUCACCUAGGCGACGAUACAUAGCCGACCUGAGAGGGUGAUCGGCCACACUGGGACUGAGACACGGCCCAGACUCCUACGGGAGGCAGCAGUAGGGAAUCUUCGGCA
RNAcentral lists this ribosomal RNA (308 nucleotides) under uncultured bacterium. RNAcentral describes it as "bacterial SSU rRNA". It matches the Rfam family "Bacterial small subunit ribosomal RNA", at positions 69 to 370 of the family's 1533-position model. The record is from RNAcentral.